UACGGAGGAUGCGAGCGUUAUCCGGAUUUAUUGGGUUUAAAGGGUGCGUAGGCGGAUCGUUAAGUCAGUGGUCAAAUUGAGGGGCUCAACCCCUUCCCGCCAUUGAAACUGGCGAUCUUGAGUGGAAGAGAAGUAUGCGGAAUGCGUGGUGUAGCGGUGAAAUGCAUAGAUAUCACGCAGAACCCCGAUUGCGAAGGCAGCAUGCCGGCUUCCGACUGACGCUGAAGCACGAAAGCGUGGGGAUCGAACCGG
Molecule: ribosomal RNA, 252 nt
Filed under: uncultured bacterium
Lineage: Bacteria
Description: partial 16S ribosomal RNA
Rfam family: Bacterial small subunit ribosomal RNA
Source: RNAcentral